CUGCGAAUGGCUCAUUAUAUAAGUUAUCGUUUAUUUGAUAGUACCUUACUACUUGGAUAACCGUGGUAAUUCUAGAGCUAAUACAUGCUAAAAAUCCCGACUUCGGAAGGGAUGUAUUUAUUAGAUUAAAAACCAAUGCCCUCUGGGCUCUCUGGUGAUUCAUGAUAACUUCUCGAAUCGCAUGGCCUUGCGCCGGCGAUGGUUCAUUCAAAUUUCUUCCCUAUCAACUUUCGAUGUUUGGGUAGUGGCCAAACAUGGUUGCAACGGGUAACGGAGGGUUAGGGCUCGACCCCGGAGAAGGAGCCUGAGAAACGGCUACUACAUCCAAGGAAGGCAGCAGGCGCGCAAAUUACCCAAUCCCGAUUCGGGGAGGUAGUGACAAUAAAUACUGAUACAGGGCUCUUUUGGGUCUUGUAAUUGGAAUGAGUACAAUUUAAAUCCCUUAACGAGGAACAAUUGGAGGGCAAGUCUGGUGCCAGCAGCCGCGGUAAUUCCAGCUCCAAUAGCGUAUAUUAAAGUUGUUGUGGUUAAAAAGCUCGUAGUUGAACCUUGGGCCUGGCUGGCCGGUCCGCCUCACCGCGUGUACUGGUCCGGCCGGGCCUUUCCCUCUGUGGAACCCCAUGCCCUUCACUGGGUGUGGCGGGGAAACAGGACUUUUACUUUGAAAAAAUUAGAGUGCUCCAGGCAGGCCUAUGCUCGAAUACAUUAGCAUGGAAUAAUGAAAUAGGACGUGCGGUUCUAUUUUGUUGGUUUCUAGGACCGCCGUAAUGAUUAAUAGGGACAGUCGGGGGCAUCAGUAUUCAAUUGUCAGAGGUGAAAUUCUUGGAUUUAUUGAAGACUAACUACUGCGAAAGCAUUUGCCAAGGAUGUUUUCAUUAAUCAGGAACGAAAGUUAGGGGAUCGAAGACGAUCAGAUACCGUCGUAGUCUUAACCAUAAACUAUGCCGACUAGGGAUCGGACGAUGUUAUUUUUUGACUCGUUCGGCACCUUACGAGAAAUCAAAGUG
This 1007-nucleotide ribosomal RNA is filed under the name Metarhizium ovoidosporum. RNAcentral's name for it is "SSU rRNA". It matches the Rfam family "Eukaryotic small subunit ribosomal RNA", at positions 87 to 1105 of the family's 1831-position model. Lineage: Eukaryota; Fungi; Ascomycota; Sordariomycetes; Hypocreales; Clavicipitaceae. The record is from RNAcentral.